GUGCACCAGGCGAGAAACCUCCCCAAUGCCCGAAAGGGUGAGGGGGUCACCCCGAGUGCCACCCUCGUGGUGGCUUUUGCGGGAUCUAAAAAGCCCCGCGAAUAAGGGGAGGGCAAGACGGGUGUCAGCCGCCGCGGUAAUACCCGCUCCCCGAGUGGUGGGGACUAUUACUGGGCUUGAAGCGUCCGUAGCCGGCUGGGUGUGUCCCCCGUUAAAUCCACGGGCCUAACCCGUGGGCUGCGGGGGAUACUACCUGGCUUGGGGGUGGGAGAGGGCGGCGGUAUUCCCGGGGUAGGGGUAAAAUCCUCUGAUCCCCGGGAGGACCACCAGUGGCGAAGGCGGCCGCCCAGAACACGCCCGACGGUGAGGGACGAAAGCUGGGGGAGCAAACGGGGAUUAGAUACCCGUGUAGU
Molecule: ribosomal RNA, 413 nt
Filed under: uncultured microorganism
Description: bacterial SSU rRNA
Rfam family: Archaeal small subunit ribosomal RNA
Source: RNAcentral